CCUACGGGAGGCUGCAGUAGGGAAUAUUGCUCAAUGGGGGAAACCCUGAAGCAGCAACGCCGCGUGGAGGAUGAAGGUUUUCGGAUUGGAAACUCCUGUUGGUAGAGAAGAGAAUGACGGUAGCUAACGAAUAAGCACCGGCUAACUCCGUGCCAGCAGCCGCGGUAAUACGGAGGGUGCAAGAGUUACUCGGAAUCACUGGGCGAAAAGAGCGCGGAGGCGGGAUAGCCAGUCCGAUGUGAAAUCCUAGGGCUUAACCAUAGAACUGCAUUUGAAACUGUUAUUCUAGAGUAUGGGAGAGGUCGGUGGCAUUCUUGUUGUAGUGGUCCCAUCCGUAGAGCUCCCG
This 346-nucleotide ribosomal RNA is filed under the name uncultured bacterium. RNAcentral describes it as "partial 16S ribosomal RNA". It matches the Rfam family "Bacterial small subunit ribosomal RNA", at positions 338 to 701 of the family's 1533-position model. The record is from RNAcentral.